GGUCAGUGAUGAGCCUUGGCAUGUAUUAUCUGACUAAAGUUGAAGAUUACUGCUUUAGCUCUAGAAUUACUCUGAGACCUG
Molecule: small nucleolar RNA, 81 nt
Organism: Alligator mississippiensis (American alligator)
Lineage: Eukaryota; Metazoa; Chordata; Crocodylia; Alligatoridae
Rfam family: Small nucleolar RNA SNORD45
About the family: U45 belongs to the C/D class of snoRNA which contain the C (UGAUGA) and D (CUGA) box motifs. Most of the members of the box C/D family function in directing site-specific 2'-O-methylation of substrate RNAs.
Source: Rfam